Molecule: long non-coding RNA, 154 nt
Organism: Lytechinus pictus (painted urchin)
Lineage: Eukaryota; Metazoa; Echinodermata; Echinoidea; Temnopleuroida; Toxopneustidae
Exons: 2
Source: RefSeq, a predicted model, not a curated record
AGGUUCGGUUAUUCCGAAGGUUCGUAUUUCCGAAGGUUCGUAAUUCCGAAGGUUCGUUAGUCCGAAAUCGAAUUGAGGUUCGUAAUUCCGAAGAUUCGUUAAUCCGAAAACAAAAUAAGGUUCGUUACGAAAUUACGAACGUUCGGAACAUCGA